This 217-nucleotide long non-coding RNA is filed under the name Ananas comosus (pineapple). RNAcentral's name for it is "long non-coding RNA (ACOM_LNC021516)". The record is from RNAcentral. Lineage: Eukaryota; Viridiplantae; Streptophyta; Magnoliopsida; Poales; Bromeliaceae.
ACAUCCGAUUGAGCAUCCAAUAGCGGUUUCGGAGGCCUGCGGGGCAAACUGAUAGCGCGAAUAUUUAACAAACCUAACAACUUUUCCGUUCGGAUUAUGAAACAAUCGUUGUACUUUAAAAGCUUAAGCUUUUAGAGAACGGUGUUUUAAACAUUUUUAUAUUUAACACUGCCCCUCAUGGCCGGGCUCGAAACUUUUUAGUUGGCUCGUGACGUGA